Arachis ipaensis is the source of this 2489-nucleotide non-coding RNA. The record is from RefSeq and is a predicted model, not a curated record. NCBI's taxonomy places the organism in Eukaryota, Viridiplantae, Streptophyta, Magnoliopsida, Fabales, Fabaceae.
AUGGCAGUGUCACUGAGACUGCCCUCUCUAACGCUAACGAACCUGUUCUCCUCACCGUCUUCUCUUCCCAUUCUACGACGCCGCCGCCCCCAUGGCACUCUUCUCCGGCCGCCUCCUCUCGCUGCUAGCUUCUCCUCCCAGAGAGCAGAGGCUGCGUCAGCUCAGACCCAGGAUAAGUCGAAGAGCAGCAAAGGAAGCGACCAAGUAAUAACGCCAAGGUCACAGGACUUCAACGCUUGGUACCUCGACCUUAUAGCCAACGCCGAGCUCGCCGAUUACGGUCCUGUUCGUGGCACCAUGGUCAUUCGUCCCUAUGGUUACGCUAUUUGGGAAUCCAUUCAGGACUAUUUGAAUGUGAAGUUCAAGGAAACAGGGCAUAGUAACAUGUACUUUCCGCAGUUUAUUCCAUACUCAUUUAUAGAGAAAGAAGCAAGUCAUGUGGAGGGCUUCAGUCCCGAGUUGGCAUUGGUGACAAUUGGAGGUGGAAAGGAACUUGAAGAGAAGCUCGUGGUUCGACCCACAAGUGAAACCAUUGUCAAUCACAUGUUUACCAAAUGGAUCCAAAGUUAUCGUGAUCUCCCUCUCUUGAUUAAUCAGUGGGCAAAUGUCACAAGAUGGGAGAUGCGCACAAAACCAUUUGUUAGGACUCUUGAGUUUCUUUGGCAAGAGGGCCACACUGCUCAUGCAACUCCUGAAGAGGCAGAAAAUGAGGCUAUACAGAUGAUUGACAUCUAUACCAAAUUUGCUUAUGAGCAAGCUGCAAUACCUGUUAUUGCAGGUCGAAAAUCUAAAGUAGAAACAUUCGCUGGAGCUAAUAAGACCUAUACAAUUGAGGCCAUGAUGGGUGACAGGAAAGCAUUGCAAGCCGGAACCAGCCACAACCUUGGCCAGAACUUUUCUCGUGCCUUUGGAACACAGUUUUUAGAUGAGACUGGACAAAUGCAGCAUGUUUGGCAGACAUCAUGGGCAAUUAGUACACGUUUUGUUGGAGGCAUAAUCAUGACCCAUGGAGAUGAUGCCGGCCUAAUGCUUCCACCAAAGCUUGCUCCGAUACAGGUGGUAAUUGUACCUAUUUGGAAGAAGGAUGAAGAGAAAGUGGCUGUUCUAAAUGCAGCAUCUUCUGUAAAAGAAGUUCUUCAUACGGCAGGUAUUAAAGUUAAACUAGAUGACUCAGAGCAAAGAACUCCUGGAUGGAAAUUCAAUUUCUGGGAAAUGAAGGGUGUUCCUCUUAGAAUUGAAAUUGGUCCUCGUGAUGUGUCUAGUGAGAGUGUGGUGAUAUCCAGGAGAGAUGUUCCUGGGAAGCAGGGGAAAGUGUUUGGAAUCUCUAUGGAGCCUUCUAUUUUGGUGGCUUUUGUGAAAGACAAGUUGUAUGAAAUACAGUCCUCUCUUUUGGAGAGGGCCAUAGCAUUUCGUGACAGCAAUAUUGUAGAUGUGAACUCAUAUGAUGAUCUUAAAGUAGCAAUAUCACAAGGCAAAUGGGCUAGGGGUCCUUGGUCUGCUACCAAUGAACAUGAGCUAAAAGUAAAGGAGGAAACAGGAGCAACCAUUAGGUGCUUCCCUUUUGAACAACCCGAAGGGAUCAAAAAAUGCUUCAUGACUGGAGAUCCUGCCGAAGAAGUAGCAAUUUUUGCCAAAUCUUACUAAUUCCCAAGUAUAUUAUCCUGCAGAUGGGGCUUGUAGUCAAAUUCUUGGUUUGAAUCAUACAUUUUUUGAUAAAAACAGAUGUAGCUGUAAUGACUAUGGAUACACAGAUGAAUAGCAUGCUCAGGCUGGCCCUUGAGAAGUAUAGGAAUUUGAGGCUUCAAUUUGAAGCUGCAAGCGCGAGAUGUCAAAGGCUGUGCCUGAAACACUCAUGAGGAGGUCUACCAUGGUGAGAUCAACGCACUUCUUGAAGGCGCAUACAAGAACUCAUGGAGCUUUGCCCCCUUCGGUAUUGGCCUUAAAGAGUAGCCAUCGAAUUAUGGAGAUGAAAGGUGCAAUUCCACUUUCUCCACUCACCAUCACUACCAUUUCAUACUUGCAUCAAACAUUAUAUAUGUCAAUCCAUGAGUUGUAAACUGUGGAGGCUCCUUUAACUAGUUACCAUACCUUGAGAAAGGUUGAUGAGUCCCGUCCAUAUGACCCUUCGACAAAGAUGUUAAGGUGGGACGGUGGAGAUGAACAUGAUAGCUUCUGAUACAAAGAAUGAGACCAGUUUCCUGAACUUUUGAUGAGAAUGCUUAGGGUAUCAUGUUCAGUGUCGCAGCAAGAGGUGUUGGAAAAAGGAUGCCAUUUCAACUUGGAAAUAUUAACAACAUUUAUGUAAAUGACACUUGUAGGAGUAUAGCACAAUCCUAUUGCAGCAACAUGAGAGGAAAUUGAAAUAAAUACUAUGUUGCUUGAAAUGGAGACAAAAUUCAGAUAUAGAACUUGUCAUUCAUCUGGAUUCUUGGAGAAAUUCAGUUCAAUAGUUUCACAAGAUGCGAUGCGAGCAGAAACCAGCUAAAUUU